This 1126-nucleotide ribosomal RNA is filed under the name uncultured organism. RNAcentral describes it as "bacterial SSU rRNA". It matches the Rfam family "Bacterial small subunit ribosomal RNA", at positions 235 to 1355 of the family's 1533-position model. The record is from RNAcentral.
CUCCCAUUAGCUCGUUGGUGGGGUAACGGCCCACCAAGGCAACGAUGGGUAGCCGGCCUGAGAGGGUGUCCGGCCACACUGGGACUGAGAUACGGCCCAGACUCCUACGGGAGGCAGCAGUCGAGAAGCUUCGGCAAUGGGCGAAAGCCUGACCGAGCGACGCCGCGUGAGGGAUGAAGGCCCUACGGGUUGUAAACCUCUGUCAGGAGGGGAUAAAGCGUAUCGGCCAAUACCCGAUGCGUCUGAAGGUACCUCCAAAGGAAGCUCCGGCUAACUCCGUGCCAGCAGCCGCGGUAAUACGGAGGGAGCAAACGUUGUUCGGAUUUACUGGGUGUAAAGGGUGCGUAGGCGGCUACGUGUGUCAGAGGUGAAAGCUCACGGCUCAACCGUGGAACUGCCUUUGAAACUGCGUAGCUUGAGUCCGAGAGAGGAUGGUGGAAUUCCUGGUGUAACGGUGAAAUGUGCAGAUAUCAGGAAGAACACCGGUGGCGAAGGCGGCCAUCUGGCUCGGUACUGACGCUGAGGCACGAAAGCUAGGGUAUCGAACGGGAUUAGAUACCCCGGUAGUCCUAGCCGUAAACGAUGUCCACUAGUUGUCGGAGGUCCUACCCCUUCGGUGCCGGAGCUAACGCAUUAAGUGGACCACCUGGGGAGUACGCUCGCAAGGGUGAAACUCAAAGGAAUUGACGGGGGCCCGCACAAGCGGUGGAGCAUGUGGUUUAAUUCGAUGCAACGCGAAGAACCUUACCUGGGCUUGACAUGCAGGGGACAGGUGUAGAGAUACACCCUUCUUCGGACUCCUGUACAGGUGCUGCAUGGCUGUCGUCAGCUCGUGUCGUGAAAUGUUGGGUUAAGUCCCGCAACGAGCGCAACCAUUGUCCUUAGUUGCCAACACGUCAUGGUGGGAACUCUAGGGAGACUGCCGGUGACAAACCGGAGGAAGGUGGGGACGACGUCAAGUCAUCAUGGCCCUUACGUCCAGGGCUACACACGUGCUACAAUGGCACAUACAGAGGGCAGCGAACCCGCGAGGGGAAGCCAAUCCCAAAAAGUGUGCCUCAGUUCGGAUCGCAGUCUGCAACUCGACUGCGUGAAGUCGGAAUCGCUAGUAAUCGCGGAUCAGCAC